CUACGUAGGUGGCAAGCGUUGUCCGGAAUUAUUGGGCGUAAAGCGCAUGUAGGCGGUGCCUUAAGUCUGUCGUGGAACUUCGGGGCUCAGCCCCGUAUGGCGAUGGAAACUGGGUUACUUGAGUGCAGGAGAGGAAAGGGGAACUCCCAGUGUAGCGGUGAAAUGCGUAGAUAUUGGGAAGAACACCGGUGGCGAAGGCGCCUUUCUGGACUGUGUCUGACGCUGAGAUGCGAAAGCCAGGGUAGCGAACGGGAUUAGAUACCCCGGUAGUCCUGGCCGUAAACGAUGGGUACUAGGUGUGGGAGGUAUCGACCCCUUCCGUGCCGGAGUUAACGCAAUAAGUACCCCGCCUGGGGAGUACGGCCGCAAGGCUUAAACUCAAAUGAAUUGACGGGG
Molecule: ribosomal RNA, 396 nt
Filed under: uncultured bacterium
Lineage: Bacteria
Description: partial 16S ribosomal RNA
Rfam family: Bacterial small subunit ribosomal RNA
Source: RNAcentral